Molecule: ribosomal RNA, 571 nt
Filed under: uncultured bacterium
Lineage: Bacteria
Description: partial 16S ribosomal RNA
Rfam family: Bacterial small subunit ribosomal RNA
Source: RNAcentral
UGGGGAAUUUUGGACAAUGGGCGCAAGCCUGAUCCAGCCAUGCCGCGUGCGGGAAGAAGGCCUUCGGGUUGUAAACCGCUUUUGUCAGGGAAGAAAUCUUCUGAGUUAAUACCUCGGGAGGAUGACGGUACCUGAAGAAUAAGCACCGGCUAACUACGUGCCAGCAGCCGCGGUAAUACGUAGGGUGCAAGCGUUAAUCGGAAUUACUGGGCGUAAAGCGUGCGCAGGCGGUUUUGUAAGACAGAGGUGAAAUCCCCGGGCUCAACCUGGGAACUGCCUUUGUGACUGCAAGGCUUGAGUGCGGCAGAGGGGGAUGGAAUUCCGCGUGUAGCAGUGAAAUGCGUAGAUAUGCGGAGGAACACCGAUGGCGAAGGCAAUCCCCUGGGCCUGCACUGACGCUCAUGCACGAAAGCGUGGGGAGCAAACAGGAUUAGAUAGCCCUGGUAGUCCACGCCCUAAACGAUGUCAACUGGUUGUUGGGAAGGUUCCUUCUCAGUAACGUAGCUAACGCGUGAAGUUGACCGCUGGGGAGUACGGCCGCAAGGUUGAAACUCAAAGGAAUUGACGGGGU